This is a non-coding RNA of Rattus norvegicus (Norway rat), 3780 nucleotides long. NCBI's taxonomy places the organism in Eukaryota, Metazoa, Chordata, Mammalia, Rodentia, Muridae. The record is from RefSeq and is a predicted model, not a curated record.
UUAAAAGUUACACUUACCACUGGGUGUUCGCGGCACACAUCUUUAAUCCCAGCACUCAGGAGGCAGAGGCAGGUGUGUCUCUGGAGGGAGUGGUUCUGAUGCUUUGAUCGAGAAUCCGUGUGAACGCUGAAAGUCCUGUUCCUCAAUUGGUUCUUGAUCGAUCAAUAAAGAUGCCAGUGGCCAAUGGCUGGGCUGAAGAGGCGGGACUUCCGGGUUCCCGCAGGCUGGUAGUGAUGAUGAGAAUUGAGAUACUUGGGGGAGAGACCGAACGGACUGGGAGCGACAGGGGAUAUCUUCCAAAAUAGCAUUCUGAAGGAGAUGUUGAUUGACGGCUCAAGCCUAAAUGGGACGUCCUCAUCGAGUCUCCUUCCCUCAAGGCUCAAGGCUCCUUGUGGAAGCUCAGAGGGGCAGAAGGACUCUGAGAGGCAGAGGUAAUCCAUGAUUCUCUGAAUAUGACAAGGCUGUUACACACAGGAACUCACAGUGGCCGUGACUGCACAGGAUUGUUCUAGAGUGGAUGAGAAGCUCACCAAUACUGCUGCAGGGCAGGGGAGAACUGGUUUUCUGCAGGUGUGGCCCCUGAGAGGCGUCCCAUAUUCCAGUGGCUGGCUUCCCCUCCCCCCAUACUGACAGCAUUAAGCAGACUCAGGAAGAGAUGAGAAAAGAGAGGAAAAGACCCCACAGGAUGUCGGCCCAUGCGGGCAGACCACAGAGCCGCCCCAGACCAGGCGGGCAUGUCAGGUGGACGGAGUGUGAGCUGGUUAGUCUAAAUCCAUGUUAAACAGAGAAACCAGUUCUGCUAAUGGGGCUGAUGUGUUAAUUGCUCUGUCUCAGCCACCCAGCAGCUUCCCACAGACUCUACAGGAGCUCCGGAAACAGCCACCAAAGAGAAACCGCCAGUGUCAGAAGUCAGCGUGUGGGUUGUGGCUCCUGGCAGCAGCGUCCUGGAGAAGCGCUGGGAGGGGCUGGAGGACCUGCCACCAGCCUUCCCCUUGGGUCCUCUAGGCCCAGAAUCUUCCGUCUGCUGGAUGCUAGUGAGGGUGCGGGGUCUUGUGGGUAAUGGCUCACACCCUUGUGCACACGCUUACGCAGUGGUGGUGUGUGAGGCUGGCUGUUAGAUCCUUCAGGCCCCCCAGGGGGGCAGUGGAGGCCUCUUCUGUGGGGGGUUUUAGAACUGGCUCUGGCCAAAGCUUCAUUGCUUCAGUAUAAACCCUGAAUGACCGGGCUCUCCCUUUCUGUGACAGACAUUCUUGAAAGUGAGACUCGUUCAGACUUUUACUAAAACAAAACAACAACGACAAACCCACCAGACGUAGUGACACAGUCCUGUAAUCCCAGUAUCUGGGGCCUUGACACAAAGGCACCACGGAAAGUUUGAGAUGAACCUGAGCUACAUAGGGAGGCAUGAUCUCAAAAAAACAAAACAAGACAAAAAAAAAAAAAUCAAAACCCACCAAAAAAAAACAAAAACCAAACCAACAACAACAAAAACCCCAAGGGGCUGGAGAGAUGGCUCAGUGGUUACGGGCACUUUCUUCUCUUUUGCCUUCCAAUUUUUUUUUUUUUUUUUCUUUUGAGACAGGGUUUCACGGUGUAGCCCUGGCUGUCCGAGAACUCACUCUGUAGACUAGGCUGGCCUGGAACACAGAGAUCCACCUGCCUCUGCCUCCCAAGUCCUGGAGUUAAAGGUGUGCACCACCACCUGGCUCCCCUUGCUACUCUUGCCAUGGUGACUCAGCUACUGGUAAAUUCAGUUCCAGGGAAUCCAAUGCCCGCUCCGGCUUCCGUGGGCACCAGGCAUCCUUGUGGCACACAGACACAUGCACGUAAAACAAACAGGACAAAGGUUAAGUGAAAAGAAGGAGUUUGUAAGGGGGGAGGGAGCUUUCAGGCCUCUUCCUGUUAGGACAGCUUCUGUUGGAAUGUUUGGGCAUGGAAUAGUGUCUUCGUCCCUACACACACACACACACACACUCUCUCUCUCUCUCUCUCUCUCUCUCUCUCUCUCUCUCUCUCUCUCACUGUUCAGAGCCUUCCCUUACUCCACUGAGGCCUACCUCUUGAGGACCGGUACCCCCUUCUCUGCCCCUCAAGCCUACCCCUUUUGCUUCUGCUUGUCGAAGGGGACAUAGGUGGGUUACAGGGCCCAGACGUGACCACAGUCUCCUGAGGAAGGGACUGGCUCAGAGGUCAUCCUGGGCCAUCAGUGUUGCCUGGGCUCAGCCCCCUGGCCUUUUUGGAGAAAAGCCCUGAGGGUCAGCGAGGGGAACAACCUCCUCCAUCCUCAGCCCGGCCUGGAGUUUCCGUCCAGCUGGGCAUGGAUCCAAGAUAGGCUGUUGUGGAUGGCAGUGGGCCCUACCACCCCCAAAUGUAGCAGUGGAAAAGGGUCCAAGGCCUCACCCUUUGGGCUAAGAUAACAGUCAGUUUUUCCCAGCUCAGCCAGCAGAACGACUGUUUGGGGGCCCUAGAAUUUCUUUUUCCAGGAGCCGACACACCUCCUCUGCCCCACCCCUCCUGGCUAGAGACACUUCUAAGCCACGCAAUGGACACUUGAGAGUCCAGUGACCAGUAAAACCCCUGCUGACUCCUGUAGGUUGCCUGUUAAACCCUUGGCCUGGACCCAUUCUGAACUCUGUUUUCCCCAAGCAAGGCAGCCAGAGUGAGUGGUCACUCCUUUCCCCAGAGCCAGAGGAGAGCUGCAGCAUUCUCCCUCCUGCUGAGACACUGACCCCUGCUGGCCAGCCACACAUCCACUGGCCUUCCACCUCCCACAGGGCAGCAUGCUGCUUGCCUACUUCCUGCACAGGGGGCUCACUACUUUACAGCGUAGCCUGCCCUGGUUAGGGACGACUCCGAGUAAUGGCGCCUGCCCUGUAGUUCCAGCCACAUGAGUGACCGAGCAAGAGGGUCACCAAAGGGGUUGGGGAUUUAGCUCAGUGGUAGAGCGCUUGCCUAGGAAGCACAAGGCCCUGGGUUCGGUCCCCAGCUCCGAAAAAAAGAACCAAAAAAAAAACAGAGGGUCACCAAGGAGAUAAGGCCCAGCCUGUGUGAUUUAGUCAUCAGUUGGGAUGCCGUGUCACUUUGAAGUAUGGCAUGGCCUGAGACUCACUAUGAGUCCCAGGCUGGCUUCGAACUCAUGUCCCUCUGCUCUGUCUCCUGAGUGCUGAGAGUACAGUAUGUGCCUCCAUAACCAGCUAACUCCGUUUUUUUUGGUUUUUGUUUUUGUUUUUUUAAAUCCACUGUGAGGUGGUCACUGGCAAUGUACCCAUUCUACAGACAGGAAGCGUGAGGUCUGGAAAUGUGUCACUCAAGGCCAGGUAGUUAGGAAGCCAGAGAGACACAGGGGCUGGGAUAGAGAUCAGAGUCCCUGACCCAGCCACCUGUGCUGGGGACAUCAUACCAUAACAUUACACUAGCCACAUGUCCCAGCAGGCUGGGUCUCCCCUCUCACCAGGACCUGGAUCGCUGUAAACGCACAUCUUUGCCUCACUUCUCCAAUGCCUUCCUCCUCUCCUUCAGGAGGCCUGGGGGCAGCCAUCGAACGGACCAGGGGCUUCAACUCCUUUCUGGCCUUAUAAAGGGAAGAUGGGGUGGGGUGGGGGGAAGCAUAUCGGCAAUGUUGGUGGGUCCAGGCAGUCCCGUGUAUCAGCUUUGGCCGGAAUCUGAACCCCCACUCAGAGACUGGCAUGAAGAGAGAGACCCUUUCACCUCCUCCCGAGAGCUGCUGGGUUUCCCCUCUCCAUCUACAGAGGCUGGCACAAAUAAAUAAGACGAAAUAAA